UCAUGACGUAUGAUGAUAAGCAUAGUUCAUUUGAGCAUACUUAUGCCAUGAAAAUGAUUAUAGCAUUGUCUUUCGCUCCUAUCUGACGUUUUGA
Molecule: small nucleolar RNA, 94 nt
Filed under: Marchantia polymorpha subsp. ruderalis
Lineage: Eukaryota; Viridiplantae; Streptophyta; Marchantiopsida; Marchantiales; Marchantiaceae
Description: Small nucleolar RNA snR60/Z15/Z230/Z193/J17
Rfam family: Small nucleolar RNA snR60/Z15/Z230/Z193/J17
About the family: The members of this family belong to the C/D class of snoRNAs which contain the C (UGAUGA) and D (CUGA) box motifs.
Source: Rfam by way of RNAcentral